Molecule: ribosomal RNA, 301 nt
Filed under: uncultured bacterium
Lineage: Bacteria
Description: partial 16S ribosomal RNA
Rfam family: Bacterial small subunit ribosomal RNA
Source: RNAcentral
CAGCCGCCGCGGUAAUACAGAGGGUGCGAGCGUUAAUCGGAUUUACUGGGCGUAAAGCGUGCGUAGGCGGCUUUUUAAGUCGGAUGUGAAAUCCCUGAGCUUAACUUAGGAAUUGCAUUCGAUACUGGUUAGCUAGAGUGUGGGAGAGGAUGGUAGAAUUCCAGGUGUAGCGGUGAAAUGCGUAGAGAUCUGGAGGAAUACCGAUGGCGAAGGCAGCCAUCUGGCCUAACACUGACGCUGAGGUACGAAAGCAUGGGGAGCAAACAGGAUUAGAUACCCCGGUAGUCCCUGUCUCUUAUAA